RNAcentral lists this ribosomal RNA (1639 nucleotides) under Staphylococcus aureus F16533. RNAcentral's name for it is "bacterial LSU rRNA". It matches the Rfam family "Bacterial large subunit ribosomal RNA", at positions 1287 to 2925 of the family's 2925-position model. The record is from RNAcentral. Lineage: Bacteria; Bacillati; Bacillota; Bacilli; Caryophanales; Staphylococcaceae.
AGUGAGAAUGCCGGUGUGAGUAGCGAAAGACGGGUGAGAAUCCCGUCCACUGAUUGACUAAGGUUUCCAGAGGAAGGCUCGUCCGCUCUGGGUUAGUCGGGUCCUAAGCUGAGGCCGACAGGCGUAGGCGAUGGAUAACAGGUUGAUAUUCCUGUACCACCUAUAAUCGUUUUAAUCGAUGGGGGGACGCAGUAGGAUAGGCGAAGCGUGCGAUUGGAUUGCACGUCUAAGCAGUAAGGCUGAGUAUUAGGCAAAUCCGGUACUCGUUAAGGCUGAGCUGUGAUGGGGAGAAGACAUUGUGUCUUCGAGUCGUUGAUUUCACACUGCCGAGAAAAGCCUCUAGAUAGAAAAUAGGUGCCCGUACCGCAAACCGACACAGGUAGUCAAGAUGAGAAUUCUAAGGUGAGCGAGCGAACUCUCGUUAAGGAACUCGGCAAAAUGACCCCGUAACUUCGGGAGAAGGGGUGCUCUUUAGGGUUAACGCCCAGAAGAGCCGCAGUGAAUAGGCCCAAGCGACUGUUUAUCAAAAACACAGGUCUCUGCUAAACCGUAAGGUGAUGUAUAGGGGCUGACGCCUGCCCGGUGCUGGAAGGUUAAGAGGAGUGGUUAGCUUCUGCGAAGCUACGAAUCGAAGCCCCAGUAAACGGCGGCCGUAACUAUAACGGUCCUAAGGUAGCGAAAUUCCUUGUCGGGUAAGUUCCGACCCGCACGAAAGGCGUAACGAUUUGGGCACUGUCUCAACGAGAGACUCGGUGAAAUCAUAGUACCUGUGAAGAUGCAGGUUACCCGCGACAGGACGGAAAGACCCCGUGGAGCUUUACUGUAGCCUGAUAUUGAAAUUCGGCACAGCUUGUACAGGAUAGGUAGGAGCCUUUGAAACGUGAGCGCUAGCUUACGUGGAGGCGCUGGUGGGAUACUACCCUAGCUGUGUUGGCUUUCUAACCCGCACCACUUAUCGUGGUGGGAGACAGUGUCAGGCGGGCAGUUUGACUGGGGCGGUCGCCUCCUAAAAGGUAACGGAGGCGCUCAAAGGUUCCCUCAGAAUGGUUGGAAAUCAUUCAUAGAGUGUAAAGGCAUAAGGGAGCUUGACUGCGAGACCUACAAGUCGAGCAGGGUCGAAAGACGGACUUAGUGAUCCGGUGGUUCCGCAUGGAAGGGCCAUCGCUCAACGGAUAAAAGCUACCCCGGGGAUAACAGGCUUAUCUCCCCCAAGAGUUCACAUCGACGGGGAGGUUUGGCACCUCGAUGUCGGCUCAUCGCAUCCUGGGGCUGUAGUCGGUCCCAAGGGUUGGGCUGUUCGCCCAUUAAAGCGGUACGCGAGCUGGGUUCAGAACGUCGUGAGACAGUUCGGUCCCUAUCCGUCGUGGGCGUAGGAAAUUUGAGAGGAGCUGUCCUUAGUACGAGAGGACCGGGAUGGACAUACCUCUGGUGUACCAGUUGUCGUGCCAACGGCAUAGCUGGGUAGCUAUGUGUGGACGGGAUAAGUGCUGAAAGCAUCUAAGCAUGAAGCCCCCCUCAAGAUGAGAUUUCCCAACUUCGGUUAUAAGAUCCCUCAAAGAUGAUGAGGUUAAUAGGUUCGAGGUGGAAGCAUGGUGACAUGUGGAGCUGACGAAUACUAAUCGAUCGAAGACUUAAUCAA